This 377-nucleotide ribosomal RNA is filed under the name uncultured bacterium. RNAcentral's name for it is "bacterial SSU rRNA". It matches the Rfam family "Bacterial small subunit ribosomal RNA", at positions 30 to 413 of the family's 1533-position model. The record is from RNAcentral.
CCUGAACGCUGGCGGCGUGGCUAAGACAUGCAAGUCGUACGGGUGCAGCAAUGCACCAGUGGCGGACGGGUGAGUAAAGUAUCGCUAACGUGCCCUCCAGUCCGGGAUAGCCGAGGGAAACUUCGGGUAAUACCGGGUGACAUCACUCCAAGGCAUCUUGGGGUGCUCAAAGGGAAACCGCUGGAGGAGCGGGCGAUAUCGUAUCAGCUAGUUGGUGGGGUAACGGCCCACCAAGGCGACGACGCGUAGCCGGACUGAGAGGUUGGCCGGCCACAUUGGGACUGAGACACUGCCCAGACUCCUACGGGGGGCUGCAGUAACGAAUCUUCCGCAAUAGCACGCAAGUGUGACGGAGCGACGCCGCGUGUGGGACGAAG